UACGUAGGGUGCAAGCGUUGUCCGGAAUUAUUGGGCGUAAAGAGCUCGUAGGCGGUUUGUCGCGUCUGCUGUGAAAUCCCGAGGCUCAACCUCGGGUCUGCAGUGGGUACGGGCAGACUAGAGUGUGGUAGGGGAGAUUGGAAUUCUUGGUGUAGCGGUGGAAUGCGCAGAUAUCAGGAGGAACACCGAUGGCGAAGGCAGAUCUCUGGGCCAUUACUGACGCUGAGGAGCGAAAGCAUGGGGAGCGAACAGG
RNAcentral lists this ribosomal RNA (253 nucleotides) under uncultured bacterium. RNAcentral's name for it is "partial 16S ribosomal RNA". It matches the Rfam family "Bacterial small subunit ribosomal RNA", at positions 524 to 776 of the family's 1533-position model. The record is from RNAcentral.